CUUCACAGUUCCCAACCUUUCCCUGACAGAACAAAGUCAGCAGACAUGUCUCCCAGAGGUCCUUCUGCUCUCCUGGUUGCAUCCCAAAUGGAAUCCUAUGCCCUACACACAGUAGUGCACUACAGGGCCCUGGUCAAAUGUAGGGGACAAUAUAGGGAAUAGGGUGCUAUUUGGGACUCAACCUUUGUCCAAGCGGCAGUGCGGUGGGUGGGACACACCCAUCCCAGUGUUAAUGGUCAACCCAAUCAAGUUGGCCGGCGGGAGGAAAAGGCGCAGCCAGUCUGGAGGUCUCGGUAUAGAACAAGGGAACAGCAGAGGGGACAGACAGAGACCCUUUCACACCAAGCUGCCUGACAGAAACAACAAUAAAGUUCACAGAGUGAUUCAUACCAGGACUCCGCCAGGGCGCCACUGCGUUCCGCACUGCCCCGUCAGGAAGAGGUAAUGCCCUCCAUCCUCUCUACCCUCUGUCUGAGUAUGACGUGCUCUUCCACCUGGCCGGCUUCCCCUCUGGAACCAUCCGGAAGAAAGAUGCCUUCCUGCUGCCCUUUUCUAGCGUUCCUCCUUCUGGACUGAUGGAUGCUGGGGCUUUGAGGGGAUAAUGGACAUACUCAUUUACUAUGGAACUAUCUGACUGUGUAUAUGUGUGGGUGUCUGCGUGCGUCCGUCUGUGCUUGUGCGUGUGUGUCUGGUGUGUGUGUGUCCGGUGUGUGUCCGGUGUGUGUGUGUGUCCGGUGCGUGUGUGUGUCCGGUGUGUGUGUGUGUCUGGUGUGUGUGUCUGGUGUGUGUGUGUCCGGUGUGUGUGUGUGUCUGUGUGUGUGUGUCCGGUGUGUGUGUGUGUCUGGUGUGUGUGUGUCCGGUGUGUGUGUGUGUCUGGUGUGUGUGUGUCCGUGUGUGUGUGUCUGGUGUGUGUGUGUCUGGUGUGUGUGUGUGUCCGGUGUGUGUCUGGUGUGUGUGUGUGUCCGGUGUGUGUGUGUGUCCGUGUCCUGUGUGUGUGUGUGUCCCCAGUGUGUGUGUGUGUCCCCGUGUGUGUGUGUGUCCGGUGUGUGUGUGUCUAGUGUGUGUGUGUCUGUGUGUGUGUGUGUCCAGUGAGUGUGUGUGUCCGUGUGUGUGUGUGUGUGUCAGAUGCGUGUGUGUCCAGUGAGUGUGUGUGUCCGGUGUGUGUGUGUCCGGUGUGUGUGUUUGUCCGGUGUGUGUGUGUCCCCGGUGUGUGAGUGUCCGGUGAAUGUGUGUGUCCGGUGUGUGUGUGUGUCCGGUGUGUGUGUGUGUCCUGUGUGUGUGUGUCCCCUGUGUGUGUGUGUCCUGUGUGUGUGUGUGUGUCCGGUGUGUGUGUGUGUGUCCGUGGGUUGUGUGUGUGUGUGUGUGUGUGUCCGGUGUGUGUGUGUCCGGUGUGUGUGUGCCCGGUGUGUGUGUGUCUCCGGUGUGUGUGUGUCCGGUGUGUGUGUGCCCGGUGUGUGUGUCCUGUGUGUGUGUGUCCGGUGUGUGUGUGUGUGUGUCCGUGUGUGUGUGCCCGGUGUGUGUGAGCCCGGUGUGUGUGUGUGUCCUGUGUGUGUGUGCCCGGUGUGUGUCCUGUGUGUGUGUGUCCGGUGUGUGUGUGUCCCGAGCCAAUUCCAACAUUUGGAAGCAUUCUUCCAGUCUCCGUCACCUUAAUCUGGAGCUGGAAGCUCAAUCUGCUAUGACAGCGUCUCUGCAUCACAAUACAUUCCAGCAGGUCUCCCCAGUCACAUGGAUCAUUUCAUCCUGACACAGAAGGACAAAUAAAUGCUUUUUAAAUUUUUUUUAUUUUUUACAGGCUCUUUAUUUGCACGUUAGAAAUAAAUCCUUUUUCAUUUGCGCCUUAGAAGUAUAAACACUUCUUUAAAGAUGCACAUGUUAAAACAUGUUACUGUCUUAACCUUGCCAGACAAUUAUCA
This is a long non-coding RNA of Oncorhynchus tshawytscha (Chinook salmon), 1913 nucleotides long. Lineage: Eukaryota; Metazoa; Chordata; Actinopteri; Salmoniformes; Salmonidae. The record is from Ensembl.